This 445-nucleotide ribosomal RNA is filed under the name uncultured bacterium. RNAcentral describes it as "partial 16S ribosomal RNA". It matches the Rfam family "Bacterial small subunit ribosomal RNA", at positions 338 to 795 of the family's 1533-position model. The record is from RNAcentral.
CCUACGGGUGGCAGCAGUCGAGAAUCAUUCACAAUGGGGGAAACCCUGAUGGUGCGACGCCGCGUGGGGGAAUGAAGGUCUUCGGAUUGUAACCCCUGUCAUGUGGGAGCAAAUUAAAAGGAUAGUACCACAAGAGGAAGAGACGGCUAACUCUGUGCCAGCAGCCGCGGUAAUACAGAGGUCUCAAGCGUUGUUCGGAAUCACUGGGCGUAAAGCGUGCGUAGGCUGUUGCGUAAGUCGUGUGUGAAAGGCGCGGGCUCAACCCGCGGACGGCACAUGAUACUGCGAGACUAGAGUAAGGGAGGGGGAAGCGGAAUUCUCGGUGUAGCAGUGAAAUGCGUAGAUAUCGAGAGGAACACUCGUGGCGAAGGCGGGUUCCUGGACAUUAACUGACGUUGAGGCACGAAGGCCAGGGGAGCGAAAGGGAUUAGAUACCCUUGUAGUC